GCGGGUGUGGCGGAAUGGCAGACGCGCUGGUCUUAGGAGCCAGUUCCAACCGGAGUAAGGGUUCAAGUCCCUUUGCCCGCACCA
This 84-nucleotide transfer RNA is filed under the name Clostridiales bacterium. Its description in RNAcentral is "tRNA-Leu". It matches the Rfam family "tRNA". From Rfam's summary of the family: Transfer RNA (tRNA) molecules are approximately 80 nucleotides in length. Their secondary structure includes four short double-helical elements and three loops (D, anti-codon, and T loops). Further hydrogen bonds mediate the characteristic L-shaped molecular structure. tRNAs have two regions of fundamental functional importance: the anti-codon, which is responsible for specific mRNA codon recognition, and the 3' end, to which the tRNAs corresponding amino acid is attached (by aminoacyl-tRNA synthetases). tRNAs cope with the degeneracy of the genetic code in two manners: having more than one tRNA (with a specific anti-codon) for a particular amino acid; and 'wobble' base-pairing, i.e. permitting non-standard base-pairing at the 3rd anti-codon position. Lineage: Bacteria; Bacillati; Bacillota; Clostridia; Eubacteriales. The record is from RNAcentral. RNAcentral also lists the same sequence under 1 other name.